CUUAUAUACUUUAUAUUGUAGAUAUUUUAUUAUAAUUAUGGUAAUGGCAGUAUUAAUUGAUUUGACUUUGUAAUUUUCAGUCUGUGCAUCUGUCUUGCCCGGUUGACUGUGAUUUAUUAGCGGCCAACCGACCUAAAGAGUGCUGGCUCUAAUUCAUAAUAAUUGUAUUACACAGAUAGUGCACGGCCUUUGGUAAAUCUACAAUAUUUUCACUUCUGUUGAUGUGUUGAUAGUUCUGUGCUGUUGGUUUUCUUUUAGCUUAUGCUUGCCCUCCCUUACUGUUUGCCAUUCCUCCAAAAUGCCUGUCAAACUUCCAUUCCAUAAGAUAUUGCCAUUCGACGACGAAGGAUCAUCACGAUUACUAUGUGCGCAGUCCGCUCUCGGAGUUUAUCGAAAAUGUUUAUUUCUUAUUUAAUUUACAACGUAAUUCCUUUACUAAUAUUAUUGUAUUGGUUUACGUUUGAGUCUCUCAUUAAACCGUAUUUUUCUAAUAAUAAUUAUAUCAAUUUGUACUUUGAGUAUAGUACUUCAAUAAGGACG
Daktulosphaira vitifoliae (grape phylloxera) is the source of this 540-nucleotide long non-coding RNA. RefSeq lists it as uncharacterized. The record is from RefSeq and is a predicted model, not a curated record. The transcript is spliced from 3 exons. NCBI's taxonomy places the organism in Eukaryota, Metazoa, Arthropoda, Insecta, Hemiptera, Phylloxeridae.